CUCUCCUUCAAAGGCUUCUA
This 20-nucleotide microRNA is filed under the name Aquilegia coerulea. RNAcentral's name for it is "aqc-miR477f". Its record names the gene aqc-miR477f. Lineage: Eukaryota; Viridiplantae; Streptophyta; Magnoliopsida; Ranunculales; Ranunculaceae. The record is from miRBase by way of RNAcentral.